GCAUUUUUAGGCUUGUUUUGCACUCAACUUUUGGCACUCUUUUUGGGUAAUUAGAGAUAAUAUAAUUUUUGGGCUAGGCAGAAAUCCACAGCUAUAGCUGUGGAUCUGGAGCUCGAGCUGUGAAAAUUUGGGGAGAAAUUGUGAAGUUCCAGAGACUUGAAGCUAUAGCUGUAGAUCUGGAGCUCGAGCUGUGAAUCUGGAGCUCGAGCUGUGAAUCUGGGGCUCGAGCUGUGGAAAUCUGGAAAGCUGAAGCUCGAGCUGUGAAUCUGGAGCUCGAGCUGUGGAAGUCUGAAAAGGGUCCAGAAAGUUGGAGCUAUAGCUGUGAAUCUACAGCUGUAGCUGUGGAGAUAAAAAUCACUUUUCUGCCCCUAUUUUAAAGCUGAUAUAAACAAAGGAAAAGAGAGAAACAGUGGGGUACAAAAUUAAGGAAAGAAACAAGAAGCACAUGAGCACUCAAUUAAAAAGAGAGACAAGGAGCCUUAAAUUAAGGAGAAACAAACAAGGAAAAAGGGGAAAAUCAUUAGUGGAAAAACCACUAAUUGAACCAAUAAUGCAAAAACAGCUGUAUAUACAUUGAUUGGAGACUACAGCUCAAAAAAACUAACUGAUUGGGGGCUGCAGCUAGGGAGUCACGUAGGAGGAGUCCUGAACCUCUGUUUUUGAUCUGCAACUUUGUACUCUCUUAUGGAAUUUGCUGCAGAAUUUGUAAUGGCCAUGAGUGGCUAAUUUCAUUGAGGAUUGGUUGGAUGUAACUACUAACUCUUCUCCUUCUUAAA
This is a non-coding RNA of Cajanus cajan (pigeon pea), 776 nucleotides long. NCBI's taxonomy places the organism in Eukaryota, Viridiplantae, Streptophyta, Magnoliopsida, Fabales, Fabaceae. The record is from RefSeq and is a predicted model, not a curated record.